Molecule: long non-coding RNA, 1227 nt
Organism: Tachysurus fulvidraco (yellow catfish)
Lineage: Eukaryota; Metazoa; Chordata; Actinopteri; Siluriformes; Bagridae
Exons: 3
Source: RefSeq, a predicted model, not a curated record
GUUUGGGAAAACGAGAAAUGUUGGUGAGACAAGAUGGUAGCCGACUAAAAGGCACAAAGCCGACCAAACCCGACAGCCAAAUCCAACUGGCUACAGUAAUGAUACAGAAAGUAUAAAAGCCUGCCUUAAAUCACAUUGUGUGUGCAUUCUAUUGUAGACAGCCUCAGUGCAUGUUAUAAUCUGUGUGCAUCAUAGAACAAUAGAUUAGGUAAAAAAAACUUGAAGAGGAUCCUUUGUUAGAAGACCGACGAGACUUCGAAGGACACCUGCGUUCAAGGAGACAGAGUUCCUGUCAUCGUCUAUCGCUCAGUUAAAAGUGGUCCAGACCAAAUAUGUGGAGGCGAAGGACCGCCUGAACAUCCUGAGGAAAAGUAAUGAAGAGAAAAUGGAGAAACUGGUAUCUGCUGGAACUAAGCUUUCCCACUCUAUUGCUGCGAGUCCCCAAAUACCAACCAAGAAACGGCGGUCUCCACAACCACCAAAGCCUCCGGGCCCAGCCUGCCCUCCCCCUCCAUCUGAGAGGGCACUCCGACCUCUGCCUCAACGUCAGGGAUCACACCAGCCCUCAUCUGCAAACAGCACUGGUAACUGAUAUGUGUUGGGUCCCUGCUAUGGCAGCAGUAACAAUCAGAAAUGUUUUCAGAACAAGCGGGAGCCCAAUGUCCCUUUAGCUUUCCCUAUCUCUGUCCUGAUAUGUGAUAGAAAGACGAAGGCCCUCUCCAGCCGCACGACGACUCUAUCUAAUCUACUGUCUUUAAGACGUCAUUCUGAGAUGGAUACAGGGCCAAAACCAGUUACUGUUAAAUUAGCACUUCUGAACAUCCGUUCAUUAAAGAACAAAUCAUUUUUAGUUAACAAUCUUAUCACCACUAACAACCUGGACUUCGUGUUUCUAAAUGAAACCUAGUUAGAUGACAGCUGCAGCGCUACAGUCCUCAAUGAAUCAGCACCACCCAACUUUACUUUUAUAAGUGUCUGUAGAGCUGUUAGAAGAGGUGGAGGAAUAGCUGCUUUACUCAAAGAUGCCUUUCAAUGCAAGCAAGUGUUACUUGGUGAUUACCAGUCUUUUGAAUAUCUGUGUAUUGUUCUAAAAGGUACACCACGCAUUCUGUUUACAAUUAUUUAUAGGCCUCCCAAAUACACCCAACUUUUGUUGAUGAAUUCACAGAACUUUUAUCAACAAUCUCCUUUGAAUUUGAUUAUUUUGUUAUUGCUGGAGAUUUCAAC